GAUGAACGCUGGCGGCGUGCCUAACACAUGCAAGUCGAACGGAGCUGCUUUGAUGAAGUUUUCGGAUGGAUUUAAAACAGCUUAGUGGCGGACGGGUGAGUAACGCGUGGGUAACCUGCCUCACACUGGGGGAUAACAGUUAGAAAUAGCUGCUAAUACCGCAUAAGCGCACGGUUCCGCAUGGAACAGUGUGAAAAACUCCGGUGGUGUGAGAUGGACCCGCGUCUGAUUAGCCAGUUGGCGGGGUAACGGCCCACCAAAGCGACGAUCAGUAGCCGGCCUGAGAGGGUGAACGGCCACAUUGGGACUGAGACACGGCCCAAACUCCUACGGGAGGCAGCAGUGGGGAAUAUUGCACAAUGGGGGAAACCCUGAUGCAGCGACGCCGCGUGAGUGAAGAAGUAUUUCGGUAUGUAAAGCUCUAUCAGCAGGGAAGAAAGUGACGGUACCUGAAUAAGAAGC
RNAcentral lists this ribosomal RNA (462 nucleotides) under uncultured bacterium. RNAcentral's name for it is "bacterial SSU rRNA". It matches the Rfam family "Bacterial small subunit ribosomal RNA", at positions 28 to 491 of the family's 1533-position model. The record is from RNAcentral.